This is a non-coding RNA of Aegilops tauschii subsp. strangulata, 2151 nucleotides long. The record is from RefSeq and is a predicted model, not a curated record. Lineage: Eukaryota; Viridiplantae; Streptophyta; Magnoliopsida; Poales; Poaceae.
GCGUGGCAAAAAAAACACCGAUCGAACCGAGAGUGGUGUGGUUCAUUCUGGAAACCCUUGCCGGUGCCCUCACCUGGUACCCAUCACACACGCCCCGCCCACUUUGCGUCGGCGGCUAAAAGAAAUCCCCCGGCUGCGCACGACCUGCGCCGGCGGUGAGUCGGCUGGAACAUGGGGGAAGCUGGAGUUCCUCCUGGAUGCUGUGGCAGAUUUCCACUUCAGGAGGAGUUCGCCCCAGCCAUGAGCACCCAGAUCCGGUUUCUCUAGCAUUGUUGUCGAACCCCAGAUCAGAAGUUGCCGCCCCGCGGAUUCGAACGCUGGCUCUGGUUGUGGUCAGCAGCUCGGCGGCGAAGUCAAUGGAAGUGCACGAGCUGGGUUUCAGCGACGACCAGACUCUUCCCCGUCGAGGUCUGCGCAGUCUACUGACAGAAUCAACCCUCAGGCACCAGGGUGGACGUAAAGAUUAAAGCUGGGAAGUAUGCCACCGGACCGGACACCAUCCGCUUCGCGAAUGAGCACAAUGGACCAGUCGAUUCGCAAGUACGCGGAGGAGUCAACAAAAAGUGUGAUAAGGCCCGAACUAGGACUGAUAUUUGAUUCAUUGAGUGAAGCAUAUGACUUCUACAACCUGUAUCCAUGGGAGAUUGGCUUUGGCAUUAGAUACGGCAAGAGCCGAUUGAACGCACAGAGGACAAAAUGCAUGCAGGAGAUCGUUUGCAGAUGCUCGUGAACGUACAGGGCAAGUUGGAGGCAGAGAACAGUAGAUCAUGUAGAUGUGAGUGCCCAGCCUUGAUUAGGUUGCGAGCAGUAGACAACAGUUGGUACAUCACAGAGCACAUCGCAAGCGUGAAGAAAGCUAUGUAGAGAAAAGGACGAUGAUCGCAAGUAACUUCAUACUCCAGUUUGUUAGUUAAGAGUCGGCUAUGUUUCAUCCGAACUAGGAAUUUUCUUACCAUUAUUGACUUAUUAACAGGAGAAAAAAUAUAAAUGGUGUUACAGGGUGGAGGUGUGCGGAGAACCAAUUUGGCAAUAGAAUAUCAUGCAAGUAAAAUAUACAUGAGGGCCAUGUUUGAAGAAUUCAGUCGCCUAUUAAUUGAAGCGACAUCAUACAAUGUCACAGAAAAGGAGAAGAUGAGGAAGUAUGUAACCGUUCACAACAAUGCAGCAAAAAGGGAAAAAUGGAGCAGGGUUCAGUAUGAGGUGAACAUAAAUGAAGACCAAACAGAGUACACGUGUGAAUGUGGUCAGUUCAAGCACACUGGAAUGUUGUGCAGCCAUGUUUUGAGGGUCAUGGAGAUACUUCAUAUGGAGGAGAAACCUGCCAAGCAUAUAUUGAAGCGGUGGACCAAAGACACGAGGGACAUACUUCCCCAACAUCUGGUUCAGUACCAGAAAGAUAAUCCAGUUAACAUGUCAUUCACAUGCAGACAUCCAACCCUUUUCCUGAAAGCAAUGGAGGUAGUGAGGCUGGGUGAUUCUAGUGCAGAAGCAUUUGAUCAUUUGAUCACAUAUUUGGUGGACUUGAAGCUCUCUUGGUGAGUGGCACACCUUUCGCGGGGAGAAGGUAUGGUCUGGGUUUUGAGGACAACAUGGGUGAAUUAGCUCCCGGCACAUUACCUGGCAAUGGAGAGAUUGCAUAUGUUGGCGCCGAACGUGUUGAUAAAGUCAACAGCACUGCAAACUCUGGGAGUGUCAAUGCUCUCCAUGGCCUAUCAGCUCCAGAUAAGCAAAGGGGGGUCAGUAAACUGACAAAUAGCAGGGAGAAGCCACCAUACGAGGGUCUGAGUAAGCGAGCCAGAUUCUGCAGCAUAUGUCGGCGUGCGGGGCACAAACGGACCACUUGCGCCGAAAGAGGAGAUGCACCGAAAAAGCCACGGAAGCCCGGGAGAUGUAAGAAGUGUGGUAUGGAAGGCCACCGCCGUACCACGUGCACAAGGUCUAAAAUGAUGUUCCAAGAGUAUGGGCGUUGUUGAAAACUGAAGUCUGAAAUUUAGAUUUGUAAUCUGUACUAAAAUGUCUUCAAAGGAUUUUCUAGUGUGCUUCUAUGAGCAUUGCUCCAUACUUGUUCCUCUAUUUCAUGAGGACUAUGAUGUUUGUUGUAAUAAGAAAUGGUCAGUUUUAAUAUGAUGUUCCUCGACGCUUUUCAGAGUA